GCAGUCACCCCCGCCGCGGUGGCCACGGGAUUGGAGUUGGAAAUGCGCAGAAUGACCCGGCUGCGGUGGGCUCCUGCCGCAGCUUCGAAAAGGAGACCCUGCGGCGGCGGCACUCCUCAGGGCUCAGGCAAGUUUUCGGCCAUGGACCAUCCCAAUCCUACCCUGAGCGGGCGUCCAUGCCGGGGUCGCGCGCACAGGCGCUGCAGUGGUGGCGGAGGAGCGCGCGCUGAGCCCCGUAUGGGGACGGCCAGCGGCGAAAAUGGACGCGAGUGCGCCGCGCCGUCGCCUUCCACCGUUUCAGACUCGCGACGCCGGCCGAGCUUCGCGUUCAGGCAUGACUCAGAGCGCGCAUGGCCCACCACAGGCUCGAUGGAAUGCCUGGCCCAAUGCGCUGCAUGAAGGCUCACUAGCAGAGUCAAAGAAAAGGCAAAGACAAAGUUGGACAGCAUGUUUAGCCUGAAAGAAAGCCACUCCAUUGAAGAGAUGUUGUGGAACCAUGGUCUGGAGUGGUUGUCACAAAGACCAAGUAGGUGUGGAGUCAAAGAAGGACAUUGGGGCAUGCAGGAUGCAGUGGAGCAUGUUCUUGAAGAACUUUUGUGAUGUCAGUAGACCAAUCAGUGACACAAGCAUGGAUCGAGCGAAGACGCACAGUGCACUUCCCAUAGAUAGUGCUAUAUAUACAGAGAAGAGGAGGCCUAAUCUAACUGUUGGGGUGGUUGCAGAUGUUGGAGGAGAUGCCCAUGCCAUCCAAUAGUUGCUUGCAACCUGGAAUAUUUGGAAGAAUGACUGUGCAGCGAUUGUUACUGGCACUAAGGCUCCACCAUGAACUGCCCUCAGGAGUUGCAGUCUUCAAUCUCUGCCUCCACCAUCUGAUUUUCUUGAAAAGAAACUGGGCCAAUAUACUCAUGAUGAAUAUCAGUUGUAUCAAUGCAGAAGUGCUCAUCCAGAAGCAAGGACCAGGAAAGCAAAAGGUAAAAGAAUGGUGGACAAAGAGACCACCAUAUAGUAUAAUCUGACUCAUGGACGUGUCUCAGAGGAGAGGAAUCAAACGUAUGCAUGAACCCAUCGUCUGCAUGCAGGUACAGCGAUUGAUCGAAGCCUUACC
Long non-coding RNA from Phragmites australis (common reed), 1105 nucleotides. RefSeq lists it as uncharacterized. The record is from RefSeq and is a predicted model, not a curated record. NCBI's taxonomy places the organism in Eukaryota, Viridiplantae, Streptophyta, Magnoliopsida, Poales, Poaceae. The transcript has 6 exons.